AUUGAACGAUGGCGGCAGGCCUAACACAUGCAAGUCGGACGAGUGGCUGACGGGUGCGUAAUGUAUGGGAAACUGCCCGAUGGAGGGGGAUAACUACUGGAAACGGUAGCUAAUACCGCAUCCCAUCGGAUGAGCCCAGAUGGGCUUAGCGAGUAGGUGGGGUAACGGCUCACCAAGGCGACGCUCCCUAGCUGGUCUGAGAGGAUGACCAGCCACAGUGGAACUGAGACACGGUCCAGACUCCUACGGGAGGCAGCAGUGGGGAAUAUUGCACAAUGGGCGCAAGCCUGAUGCAGCCAUGCCGCGUGUAUGAAGAAGGCCUUCGGGUUGUAAAGUACUUUCAGCGAGGAGGCGUUACUCGCAGAAGAAGCAUCGGCUAACUCCGUGCCAGCCGCCGCGGUAAUAC
This 406-nucleotide ribosomal RNA is filed under the name uncultured bacterium. Its description in RNAcentral is "partial 16S ribosomal RNA". It matches the Rfam family "Bacterial small subunit ribosomal RNA", at positions 30 to 526 of the family's 1533-position model. The record is from RNAcentral.